Mycena crocata is the source of this 94-nucleotide non-coding RNA. Lineage: Eukaryota; Fungi; Basidiomycota; Agaricomycetes; Agaricales; Mycenaceae. The record is from the annotation of a GenBank genome assembly.
GCCUACGUAGAUCAAUGGUAGAUCGCCCCGAACUCAUGGCCCAGAGAUAUUGAGGUAUAUCGGGGAAACGGAGGUUCGAUUCCUUCUGUGGGCG